RNAcentral lists this ribosomal RNA (207 nucleotides) under Bacillus halotolerans. Its description in RNAcentral is "partial 16S ribosomal RNA". It matches the Rfam family "Bacterial small subunit ribosomal RNA", at positions 34 to 227 of the family's 1533-position model. Lineage: Bacteria; Bacillati; Bacillota; Bacilli; Caryophanales; Bacillaceae. The record is from RNAcentral.
CGCUGGCGGCGUGCUAAUACNUGCACGUCGAGNUUAACAGAUGGGAGCUUGCUCCCUGCAUGUUAGCUUGGACGGACGGGUGAGUAACACGUGGGUAACCUGCCUGUAAGACUGGGAUAACUCCGGGAAACCGGGGCUAAUACCGGAUGCUUGUUUGAACCGAUGGUUCAAACAUAAAAGUGUGGCUUCGGCUACCACUUACAGAUG